Molecule: small nucleolar RNA, 134 nt
Organism: Scaptodrosophila lebanonensis
Lineage: Eukaryota; Metazoa; Arthropoda; Insecta; Diptera; Drosophilidae
Product: small nucleolar RNA psi28S-3316
Exons: 1
Source: RefSeq, a predicted model, not a curated record
GGCACCUAAAAGCGUUUUCUUGUCCGCUCAAUUUUAAUGCGCUAGAAAAUCGUUGAAAGUGUGCCAAAUAAAAGUCCACUUGCAAGUAACUUUAGCUUUUACCACACUUAAGUUUUAAAAUACUGGCUACACUU